RNAcentral lists this transfer RNA (73 nucleotides) under Sceloporus jalapae. Its description in RNAcentral is "tRNA-Asx". The record is from RNAcentral. Lineage: Eukaryota; Metazoa; Chordata; Lepidosauria; Squamata; Phrynosomatidae.
CGGACAGAAGCCCGCUGGAUUGGGUGUUUAGCUGUUAAUUAAUAUGUUGCGGGAUCAAGGCCCGCCUGUCUAG